UACAACGAGAGAAAUGUAAUAAUCGAGUGCAACAUGAACGAAAAAACUAUAGAACCAAUAAAAAAUUGCAUUGUUGACCAGUGUCUCAGCCAACAGAUUUCCGAGAUGACGAAAGAUGCAGGUAAAUAUUAUUGUACCCGUAUGCUUGUUUUUUUUUUAAUCUAAAAAUUAAUGUUGUUAUUAAGAAAUUUUACCCUAUAACUCUAAUUUCUUAUACUAUUUCAAAAAUUAUUUAUUCUAUCUUUAAAUUAUUUUUUUGAUCAGAAAAGCAGUUCUUUUAGUUUCAUCACUUUUAUUAAAUGUUUAGUUUAAGUUCAUUGUUUGUGGAACAACAUGAUGUUUUUGUGAAGCAUUGUGUAACGUGCCCGGGGUAUGAGGCUUUUAUGAUUGAUCAAAUCACCAAUGAAGGAUAUAUAUUUCAUUGUAACCAUUAUAUGAUAAUUCCUGGUAAGUUGUUAUAUGGGUAAUCCUUGUUGAUCUGGUAAGGUAAAUCCCUGUGUUGGUCAGUAAUAUAUUGCCAUGCAUGGGCAAACAAGAUCACAAGAUAAAGAUUAUUAAAGUUUCAACAAUGAUUUAAUUAACGUAAUUAAUAUAAUUCAGAUGACUGGAUACCAAAUAAUCAAUCCAUGGUGAUGUAAUACAUUUGAUCAGAUCGGACGUCACAUAUUAUGAUUUGGUCACAUAUUAUGAUUUGGCAAAAAAGUAACUAUUGAUUUUAUUAAAUCUGGUCAAUGUAAACUAUAUAAAAACUUCGUAGAGACUGUUGAAUUCCUUAAUAAAUUUAUUUGGUAAAUGUAACCUAUAGUAAAACCUCCUCAAGCGUUAGUUAUAUCAGUAUUUACGUACAAUUUCUAUGAAAGUUGUUGAGCCGACGUUCUGCAGAGUCAAAAGUCUGUGGCGACGCUUACAUAGGGUUUAACUACCGAACAUGCGCAGUGCGCUUUACCUAACCAAAAUGAAAGUAUAGACCAAAAUGGCAGACGAUACUAACAACAUCGCUGAAGUGGGACAAACCAUGAAAAAUACGAACCGUAAAACAAAUACAUAAUAAUAAACAAUAAAGGUAAGAUGAAUGAAAAUUUACAAUAUAUGUUGCGUAUAGGUUAACAGUAAUAAAAUAAUGACGUUCGAGGACGAAGUACAAUAACCUGAACCCCUCUUGUAAGUUCGAAUCUUCUGAAUCACCAUGACCAAAAAGGAAAACAACGUGAUCGACAGACACACAUCAAAGCCGGUAUUUACGAUCAAUUUGCACAAUGUACUGUAUUUGUAAUAGACAUUUCAUAUUAAAUGCUUGUAUAAUCACAAGAGUUCAUAUUUUUACGUAUCCAUGAGUUCACAGUCCAUAAAACACAUAUAUUUCACAUCAAUACAUCUUUCCCUCCUUUGAUAAACUGUUCGUCCUCGAACAAAAAUGUUAAACAAGAAAUGUUUGUAUGCAAUGGUAUAAUAAACAAUUAUAAUGAAAUAUCGACAUAGGAUAUAGAUUUAUAACAUGAAUUGAUAUAAUUUUCUUUUUCACACGAAAACGCAGAAUCCAGUAAAUGUUUGCAGUCAUGAUCCACUCAGAUGAAGAAACAGUCAAAGGUAAAAGACACUAUCAAGGUUAUUGGCCGCCAUCUUGGACUGGGGGCAAACAUUGGGGGCUGACGUCACAAAAACAAUGGCCGACGCGAGGCGAAGCGAGAACGGAUCAGCAAAAUAAACCGCCGCAUGUUAUCUACGACCUUACAGCUGUAAAUAACUAUGCACAAAAGACUCUCAGCAAAUUAUCGACAGCAAGUCAUACCAGUAUCAAAGAGUCAAGAGUCAUAAAUACAAAGGCCUGUACACAAAGAAAGAAUGCCUAAUAAGCCACAAGGAAAGUUAUCACAACAACAUCGGGUACCGACAUUUCAACUUCAAAGGAGACAGAUUCUACAACCGAAUUAAAGCAAACAGAAGAAAAUAAAAAUUCAACAUGUUUGCCUAAUUUUAAACAAGAGUAUUUCAAAGGCUCUUCGGAAAACGAAACAGCAUAUGGGGCAGUAAUCGGAGCUUUACUAGGUGGUAUUGUACUUGGAGCUGUGUUGGAAUUUCUUAUCACAACUUUAUUCAGAAGAGCACAAUUAAGAAAGGAUGAAAAAAACAAAAAAAUCUUUUCAGAGACACAGGGGAGGUCGAGCUGACAAGUAAUGCAGCUUAUAACUGUAGUUCACUUAAAGUACCCUACGACAUGGAGUAUGACGAGAAACCAACGGGACACUUGUAUACCCAAAUUACACAAAUCCAAAGUCAAAAGAAUUCUCGGUCCAAACAUGAAUAUGAAAAUAGUGGACAGAAAAGGGAAAAAAUGGAGGAUCAAUUAUAUAAUCAUCUUAAUGAAAAAGAGGAAACAGAUAGAGCGGACUAUUAUGAUCACGCCAGCGUUGUUCCCAUUUCAACUCAUCCAGAAUGUUAUGAAAUAAUUAUGAAGUCAAAUUUUAAUAAUUCCAAUUUAUACACGGAAGUCGUGGGGGAAGGAUUCAAGAUCAAGGAAAAUAAUCAAGACUUAAAAGAAAAGGAAUAUGUACAUGUAG
Saccostrea cuccullata (small rock oyster) is the source of this 2558-nucleotide long non-coding RNA. RefSeq lists it as uncharacterized. Lineage: Eukaryota; Metazoa; Mollusca; Bivalvia; Ostreida; Ostreidae. The record is from RefSeq and is a predicted model, not a curated record. The transcript has 8 exons.